UACGAAGGGGGCUAGCGUUGUUCGGAUUUACUGGGCGUAAAGCGCACGUAGGCGGAUCGAUCAGUCAGGGGUGAAAUCCCAGAGCUCAACUCUGGAACUGCCUUUGAUACUGUCGAUCUGGAGUAUGGAAGAGGUGAGUGGAAUUCCGAGUGUAGAGGUGAAAUUCGUAGAUAUUGGGAAGAACACCGGUGGCGAAGGCGGCUCACUGGCUCAUUACUGACGCUCAGGCGCGAUAGCGUGGGGAUCAAACAGG
RNAcentral lists this ribosomal RNA (253 nucleotides) under uncultured bacterium. RNAcentral's name for it is "partial 16S ribosomal RNA". It matches the Rfam family "Bacterial small subunit ribosomal RNA", at positions 524 to 776 of the family's 1533-position model. The record is from RNAcentral.